CGACCUGGCCCGGACCGCCUUCGGCUACGCGCCGCCGCUCAGCCCGGCGCUGGCCUCCUCCCUGCACGCGGCCAAGGCGGGCUCGGGCCUGGCCCGCUCGCCCUUCUCCAUCGAGAGCAUCAUGGGCGGCGGCCUGAGCCCCGCGGCCGGCAGCAGCUGCGCCUCGCAGUCCGCCGUCGUGCCCUUCCUCGCCAGGUCGCUCGUCACCUCCUCGGUGUCCUCUGCCGCCGCCGCUGCCUUGGGGACCCUGCACCAGGGCACGGCCCUCUCCGGCGGCGAGAACUUUACUGCUAGGAUUUCAAAUUGUUAAUGGGGGAAAGCCUCGCGGAAGCGGCAGGUCUCUCUCAUCUCUUGCAAUCCUCUCCUUUCCAAAGAGCUAAUGCACACGAUGCAGAUUUUUGUUUCCACUGCGGACGAGGUUUCACCUCCCCGGAGGCUGCCAGUUUCUUUGGAGGAUUUGAUUUGACACGGAAGCGGCUGUCAUUGUCAUCUGCAAAUAGAGCAGAGAGGAUCUGGCUCUCUCCAGCUACUGGCUAGUUUCGGCCCUCAAAGCUGAGCCACUUUGUUUUGGCUGGCCGCGGAUCAGACAAGCACUCAGGUGCUGUGAGUCAUCACUUUCAAAGGAUGCAUUUGCAAAGACCUCUUCUCUUCAAGCCACGGAGUGACCUAGUGAUGCAUCAGCAGCUCUUCCCCCGGGAGCUCCUGCUGCUGUUCAAAACCUCCCUGUUCUGAGCGGCCGCUCCUGGAAGAGCUCUCCCCUCUUCCUGCGAUCCUGCAGUGUCCCUAUCAUUCCUCCGCAAGCCUUAUUUAUAUCUCCUCCUGGCAGACAGAUGUGACUGGAGCUUUCCCCUAGGGGAAAUCAUCUUACUGUAAUGAAUCGUGACUGUCCUGUGAUGUAACGCGCGGUGAUGUAUGAAAAUGAGCAGGGUCAGUGCAUUCAUCGUCUCUCCAGCAAGGCCCCGCUAACACAUGACUCCGAGGUGGACAGGGCUGCUCUUCCUCGGUUUCCCGAGGGUGCCCCAGCCCUGGGCUGAUCGAGAGUUUUGACAAGGGAGGUGCAGCUGGUGAGAGGCAUUAUCGCGCAUAAAGAAACACAUUUUUCUCCUCAUAACAAUAAACUAGAAGCUUUACUAAUAUGCCA
RNAcentral lists this long non-coding RNA (1141 nucleotides) under Crocodylus porosus (Australian saltwater crocodile). Its description in RNAcentral is "lncRNA (ENSCPRG00005000860.1)". The record is from RNAcentral. Lineage: Eukaryota; Metazoa; Chordata; Crocodylia; Crocodylidae.